CGGGGAGACACAAACACCAAUGACAACUGAGCCCAACUAUAUAAAGGAUUGACACCACUUUCUACCCAAAACCUUAAGGCAAUGGGUUAAUGGGUCUUUCAUCAUUAUAUAAUGCUCUACUUUCUUAUUUCUAUCCAGUGUGGGACUUAGACUCACACUUGGAUUCCCAACAAUCUCCCCCUCAAGGGUGAGUCCCUUCCACAUAGGUACACCCCCUCCAACGAAAGCAUAUCGGCUCUGUUAAACUGCCUUUUAGUCGCUUAAGACAUAACAAAG
Molecule: long non-coding RNA, 276 nt
Filed under: Vigna radiata
Lineage: Eukaryota; Viridiplantae; Streptophyta; Magnoliopsida; Fabales; Fabaceae
Description: long non-coding RNA (VRAD_LNC004083)
Source: RNAcentral